This 240-nucleotide ribosomal RNA is filed under the name uncultured bacterium. Its description in RNAcentral is "partial 16S ribosomal RNA". It matches the Rfam family "Bacterial small subunit ribosomal RNA", at positions 524 to 762 of the family's 1533-position model. The record is from RNAcentral.
UACGAAGGGGGCUAGCGUUGCUCGGAAUCACUGGGCGUAAAGCGCACGUAGGCGGCUUUUUAAGUCAGAGGUGAAAUCCUGGAGCUCAACUUCAGAACUGCCUUUGAUACUGGAGAGCUUGAGUCCGGGAGAGGUGAGUGGAACUGCGAGUGUAGAGGUGAAAUUCGUAGAUAUCGGGAGGAACACCAGUGGCGAAGGCGGCGACCUGGGCCAAUACUGACGCUGAGGUGGCGAAAAGCG